Molecule: long non-coding RNA, 1655 nt
Filed under: Ananas comosus (pineapple)
Lineage: Eukaryota; Viridiplantae; Streptophyta; Magnoliopsida; Poales; Bromeliaceae
Description: long non-coding RNA (ACOM_LNC010619)
Source: RNAcentral
AUAAUAAUAAAAAAAAGUUCACUACAAACGGAUAUUAUCUAUUUGUUAAAAAAAAUUCCAAAUAAAAAUAAACAAUUAUGAUCAAUCUUUAAAAAAAAGAGCAUUCAUAUCUACAUGCAAAUUUUUGUCAUGAUUGGGUAAUCUAUAUUAUAUAUAAAAACUAUAUAAAAUCCUUAUUGACAGACGGAAUCAAAAUAAUAAUAAAAAAAUGUUCACUACAAACGGGUAUUAUUUAUUUGUUAAAAAAAAUCUCAAAUAAAAAUAAACAGUUAUGAUCAAUCUGUUAUAAAAAUAGCAUUCCUAUCCACAUGCAAAUUCAACCCUACAAAUGGUUAUGAUUAAUUUGUUAAAGAAUAUGUCAAAUAAAAAUAAACGUUUAUGAUCAAUCUGUUAAAAAAUAGCAUUCAUAUCAAUCUAUUUUAUAUUAAAAUUAGAAUUUUAUUUUAAAUCGACAAUUAAAUUUAAUUUUGGAUAUCAAAAUUUAAAAAAUUUUAAAAACUUAAAAUAUAUAUACAUCAAAAAUUAAAUUUAAUUUUGGAUUAUCUACUUUAUAUAAAAUUUUAAUUAUAGUGGAUCAAAAUUAAAUUUUAAAUUUUAAAGUAAUAUGAAAUAAAUUUUGAUCUUUUUAGUUUAGAACAUAUACUUAAAUUUUAAAUUCACCGGAAUUCGAAAAAUAUAUAACAAUAUUAUAUAAAAAAGAACAAUAUAGAAUAUCACAGAUAAUUUUAAUAAAAUAUAACAUAUAAAUUUAUAAAAUAUAAUUUUUAUUGUUAAUUUUUGAAUAAAAUAUAAAUUUAUAUUGAUUUCAAAUAAAUUAAAAUAAUUGUUACAUGUAUUUGUACAUAUAUUCAACUAGUCAAUGUAAAUAUAUAUUGUUAUUUCAUAAACAAACUAAAUAGUUAAUUUUUUAACUAGCUGAUUAAUUAUUAAUUAUAACUAAUAACUCAAAUAAUCAAUUCAAUAUUUGUUAAAGUAGUAAAUUUAGUGGUUAAUUAUUAAUCUAGUUAAAUAGUAAAUAAACUAAUAUAUUUUUUAACUAAUAAUAUUUUUUUAUUAAGAGUUCAGCUACUAUACUCUUAUAAGUAUAGAUCUUUUUAUACUCAUACGUUUACGACCGUUAGAUUUACUCCUUUAAUCAUUUUCAUCCGUUAGAUCAUACUAUUCAACAUACCACCCACUUAAUCCUAGGAAAUCAUUAUCAUCCUAACCACAUAUCCCUUUAUCUAACAGUAAAAAAUUUAUGAGUACAAAAAAAUGUAUACUUAUAAGAGUAUAGUAGCCUAGUAUUAUUAUUAAUUAAUAUAAAUAUAAGGGAAGAAAUUGUUGUUCAACUCCAAAGGGUGGCAAAUAUGCCCUCUCAACGCAUUAUCGAGAUAACCUCUUAUUCCACUUAUUACUUCUUUUCUUAUUUUUGAAUCAAACACCGUUAAAGAUAUACAUACAAAAAAUACAAUUAUUUUACACUAAUUUUUACAAAUCAAAUAAUAAAUUUGUUAUACAUACGAAAAAUACAAUUAUUUUACACUAAUUUUUACAAAUCAAAUAAUAAAUUUGUUAUCAGCCGAAACUAUUUUAUAUUUUGAUAAUAAAUUUUCUAGUUCUGUAUUUUUUAUCUAUAGACGUCUUAAAAUAUUUAAAUUAUAUAUAUAUAUAUA